GAUUUUCAUAAUCAAUCCUAGUUAUUUAAGUUUUAAUAAGAUGCCCAUGCUAGCAACUUGUCUUUAUCUAUGGCAAGCAGCUAGCAUGGAGACAAUGCGAUGCUAUGGCAAACGGGUGCUUUAUCUGACAAAUCCUUAGAGAGGGCUACACGUUUUAAAGGAUAACUCGUAGUACAAAAAGGGAGUUUUUUAGUUGGUAAGAAUUCAACACUACCUAGAGUUCGGAACACUGGGUGUCUUCGCGAAGAUUUUUUAUUUCUCCGGCCACCGGGCAAACAAAAAAAAAUAAGUAUCGCAUUGCGAUGGACACAUACGAUUUUUGACGUGUCAGAAACAAGUCUUCAAGACUUGUCUCUGGUACCUUCUUACUAUAGUCUAUAGUAUUUGCUGUUAUCCACUACUAUCCUACUGUAUGGUUAUUUUAUGGGCUCUAAUUCCAUUGUUAAUUUUUGUAUAUCAAAAAUUUGGCAGGAGGCAUUGGGAAUUAAAUUUUCGGGUCUUACGCUGCAAAAUUACAGGUUAUGCAAUAAUCACUUUUCGGAAAGUUGUUAUGCAAAUUCUAAGGAUUUGAGACUUGUUCGUAACGCAGUUCCAAAUAGAUUUAUUGAAAUUGAGUGUACCGGGGGGGAAAGCUCUAUGGAAAAUGUAGCACCAGUUAUUCCUGAUAAUUGGGUGGAAAAUGUUCCAUUAACUACAUGUGAUAUGACUGAUAAAUGCCAGCCAGGCACAUCGAAUCAACCUCCAGUAACUCCUACUAGAAAGUUGUUUCGAAGUGUUGAAGGGUUGAGCAAUAUAGAAAAUUCCCCAAAGAAAUUAAAAAUAAUUCGCAUAAUCAACCGAAAAGAAAAUCAGUUGAGAAAAGUGAAACGUUUGUGUAAGAAGAGAGGCAAUGACAUUAAAGCUUUGGCAAAUUUAUCGGAGUCAGCUGUAGUUCACGGAUUGUUUCAAGACAUGUCAUCAUUGACCUCAAAUUUUCUGUUGGCUCAAAUUAGAUGCUCAAAAAGCAAAGGGUCGAAAGAAAGAAGAUGGACUUUUGAUGAUAAAGUUAUGGCUCUUGCUAUUUAUAAAAAAAGUCCUAAAUGCUACCGAAUGCUCCAAAAAUUUGUAUGGUUACCUAGCAAAAA
This is a long non-coding RNA of Dendroctonus ponderosae (mountain pine beetle), 1124 nucleotides long. RefSeq lists it as uncharacterized. The transcript has 2 exons. Lineage: Eukaryota; Metazoa; Arthropoda; Insecta; Coleoptera; Curculionidae. The record is from RefSeq and is a predicted model, not a curated record.